RNAcentral lists this ribosomal RNA (460 nucleotides) under uncultured bacterium. Its description in RNAcentral is "partial 16S ribosomal RNA". It matches the Rfam family "Bacterial small subunit ribosomal RNA", at positions 338 to 795 of the family's 1533-position model. The record is from RNAcentral.
CCUACGGGAGGCAGCAGUGAGGAAUAUUGGUCAAUGGACGAGAGUCUGAACCAGCCAAGUAGCGUGAAGGAUGACUGCCCUAUGGGUUGUAAACUUCUUUUAUAAAGGAAUAAAACGAGGCACGUGUGCCUUUUUGCAUGUACUUUAUGAAUAAGGAUCGGCUAACUCCGUGCCAGCAGCCGCGGUAAUACGGAGGAUCCGAGCGUUAUCCGGAUUUAUUGGGUUUAAAGGGAGCGUAGAUGGGUUGUUAAGUCAGUUGUGAAAGUUUGCGGCUCAACCGUAAAAUUGCAAUUGAUACUGGCAGUCUUGAGUACAGUUGAGGUAAGCGGAAUUCGUGGUGUAGCGGUGAAAUGCUUAGAUAUCACGAAGAACCACGAUUGCGAAGGCAGCUUACUAAACUGUGACUGACAUUGAUGCUCGAAAGUGUGGGUAGCAAACAGGAUUAGAUACCCUUGUAGUC